GAUGAACGCUGGCGGCGUGCCUAAUACAUGCAAGUCGAGCGAACCACUUCGGUUGGUGAGCGGCGAAACGGGUGAGUAACACGUAGGUGAUCUGCCCAUCAGACGGGGACAACGAUUGGAACGGAUCGCUAAUACCGGAUAGGACGAAAGUUUAAAGGUGCUUCUGGCACCGCUGGAUGGAUGAGCCUGCGGCGCAUUAGCUAGUUGGUAGGGUAAAGGCCUACCGAAGGCCGACGAUGCGUAGCCGACCUGAGGAGGGUGAACGGCCACACCUGGGACUGAGACACGGCCCAGACUCCCACGGGAGGCAGCAGUAGGGAAUCUUCGGCAAUGGGCGAAAGCCUGACCGAGCAACGCCGCGUGAAUGAUGAAGGUCUU
RNAcentral lists this ribosomal RNA (378 nucleotides) under uncultured bacterium. Its description in RNAcentral is "bacterial SSU rRNA". It matches the Rfam family "Bacterial small subunit ribosomal RNA", at positions 28 to 418 of the family's 1533-position model. The record is from RNAcentral.